UACGUAGGAGGCGAGCGUUAUCCGGAUUUAUUGGGCGUAAAGUGGGCGUAGGUGGUCUUUCAAGUCAGAUGUGAAAUCUCCCGGCUUAACUGGGAGGGGUCAUCUGAUACUGUUGGACUUGAGUACAGCAGGGGAAAAUGGAAUUCCCGGUGUAGUGGUGAAAUGCGUAGAUAUCGGGAGGAACACCAGAGGCGAAGGCGAUUUUCCAGGCUGAAACUGACACUGAGGCCCGAAAGCGUGGGGAGCGAACAGG
This 253-nucleotide ribosomal RNA is filed under the name uncultured bacterium. RNAcentral's name for it is "partial 16S ribosomal RNA". It matches the Rfam family "Bacterial small subunit ribosomal RNA", at positions 524 to 776 of the family's 1533-position model. RNAcentral also lists the same sequence under 1 other name. The record is from RNAcentral.